GUCUACGGCCAUACCACCCUGAACGCGCCCGAUCUUGUCUGAUCUCGGAAGCUAAGCAGGGUGGGGCCUGGUUAGUACUUGGAUGGAAAGGUGACAUGUGAACAAUAGAAGGAGUACUUA
Molecule: ribosomal RNA, 120 nt
Filed under: Mustela putorius furo (domestic ferret)
Lineage: Eukaryota; Metazoa; Chordata; Mammalia; Carnivora; Mustelidae
Source: RNAcentral